Non-coding RNA from Delphinapterus leucas (beluga whale), 4033 nucleotides. Lineage: Eukaryota; Metazoa; Chordata; Mammalia; Artiodactyla; Monodontidae. The record is from RefSeq and is a predicted model, not a curated record.
AAAAAAAAAAAAAAAAAAAAGGAAAAAAAGAAAAGGCAAACCAUCUGAAGCAUCUCAGGUACUUGGUCAUCAUGGGGAACUUGUUUUUUUCACAUGGACGAUGACACCUUCAAAGAAACAAUGCCAAGUAACUGAAUUGAGCUAAGACUUCUUAAGUGAAAUAAUACAAUUUUAAGGGGGAAACUGCAGAAAAAAGCAUAGGUUUUUAAUAAGCUCUUUUAACUAGGAAAGCAUGGGGAAAUCUCUUAAAACCUCACUUUCUUUAAAAAAGAACAAUAACAACAUUUUGACCACAUGCUUUUAACUUUAUAAUAUUGAAGAUUACAUAAGCUUAAUCUUAGGCAAUGCUGUAACCUCAAUUUUUAAGGAAUUCAGAUGAUCGCCUUCUUUUUCCUCUAUUUUUAAAAAUUUUUCUUUGAAAGGAGAAAGGAAAGAGGAAUUAUUAAAAGCAAAGAAUGGCUUCCAUUUAUCUCUUAUCCAGAAGACAUGAAUAAAACAAACUUACCUGGUAGGUACCCAGGUAAGUGUUUCUGUGGUAUAUUUUUUUAAGUGUUUUCCAUGUUACACCUACCAGUACUCUUAGAAUUAUGCUCUAGACAUUACUUGGGUUCCAAAAAGGUGGUUAAUAUCCCCAAAGAAUCCCUCAUAUUCUUCCUUUGUAAUUUCCACUCCUCUGCUAGUGAAGCUAUUUGGAGAGGUCUCAGUGAAUCAGUGAAUAACCAUUGCCACCUUCAUCUCUUUUUGGCUGCCCACAAAAUUGAAAACUCUGUGAAACUCACACCAGAUAGUUAGGUCUUACCCAUUUUGUGGCUUGAUUACUUGUUCUGAUUAAUAAAAAAAAAAAAAAUUAAGUAGUUUAAAGGUUUUUUUGAGGGGGAUUUUCUUUAUCUCUGAAGUAGUCACCUGAUAAAACAAGAAUAAUCCUCAGAGUAAACAUAUUUAUUACGGUUUCAUUAGAAUUGUGUUCCUUGAAAUGUGCAGUAAUGCUCUCAUGGUCAGAUGUUUAUUUCAGUGACAAAAAUGAAGAAUGUUGGUGUAUUAAUCUGCAUUGUAAAGUGUGACAAGUUCAGGUCAAGCUAACUGGAAACUUGGAAACCAAGGGAGUGUCUACUGCAAGAAGAGAUUUUUAUAUCAGUUAAGCAUUGCAUUUGGCUACCAGUGGCAGGCUGCUGACUUGUGUGAUUUAAAUAUCUAUGCAUAUUUGUCAAUCAAUAAAAAGUAUAGAGAGAGAUAGGCAGUUACUGAUAGCUGUUCAAUAGCACAAGAGUGUCAGGGAUUCUGGGAUGAAUUUCUUAGCCUUCCACUCAUGGUCCCCAAGUGACUGCUGGACCUCAACACCUUACCACCAGUUUUUGAGGAAGAAGAAUAGAAGGGGCACUUGUCAGCUUAAUAAACUUUUCCAGAGGUCUCAUCCAGCUGUUUAUCACAUCUUGCUUAUAAGAUGUGCGUGCAUCUUAGCAUCCUUUGAGCAAGUGAGGCUGAGAAAUAUAUUUUUAGCUGGGUACUUGCCUUCCGCUAUCCUCUCUCACAAAGGAAGGAAUAAAAACGUGGAGGUUAUGCGGGUAGUGAGGAGUUACUGCUACAUAUAUGUUACAUUUCAGUGCCAUCUCAGACUCCUCUUUGGAGUUAAGUCACCCAAAGUGAAAGAGAAGAGAUGCAACUUCAUCCACUGACCACCCUUGUUAUAGGAACCUGAGUUUCAUCUCUCAUUGGAGCAAUAAUUAAACCAUACUCUCCCAGAGAGGUAGGGACACGGUUGUACUGGGAAGCUCCAGUAUAGGAUACACCCCUGGCAUUCAGUAUUUGAGGUUUCCAUUGUUCAAGACCAAACUUGAAGGUCCAUGGCAUAUAAUAAAUAACUUUAAAUUUUUAUGUCAUAUCAAUUUUAGUCCCCUUCACACCAAGAGGCAUAAAAUUUUCUGACAGUAGGAGAUGUAUUCAUUUUCUGGGGCUACCAUAUCAAGGUACCACAUACUAGGUGACUUAAACAAUAGAAAUUUAUUGUCUCACAGAUCUGGAGGCUAUAUCCAAGGUCAAGGUAUUGACAGGAUUGGCUGUAAGAGACAAUCCUUUCCAUGCCUCUCCUAGAUUCUGGUGGUUUUCUGGCAAUCUUUAGUGUUCCUUGGCUUAUAGAUGCCUCACCCUGAUCUCAGCCUUCAUCUGUACAUGCAUGGUGUUCUGCCUUUAUCUAUGUGAAGAUAAAGGUUCGUAAAACCUCUUCACAUAGUGUCUGACUCUGUGCACAUUUUUUUUAUGAGGACACCAUUCAUAUUGGAUUAGGGCCCUAAUGACUUCACCUUAAUUUGAGCACAUCUGCAAAGACCCUAUUUCCAAAUAACCUUCUGAGGUACUAGGAGUUAGGACCUCAACAUAUAUUUUGAGGGAACAUAAUUCAACCAAUAACAGUUGGUGUUCAAAUCAGAAAAUGAACCUGCAACAUACACAUGGCAGCAAUCUUUUUUCUCUCCCUCCAUUUUUAUGCAGAAAUUAUACACUAUAGGGAUAUUUAAGAAUUUUAAGGGCCUACUCAUUAGCAUACAUUGGAAAUACUGCUUUUAGUAUAUUAUCAUGAAAAUAAACGAUGAAUCUAGAUUACAGUUGAGUUGCUCUUGAAUCUAAAGAUAUAGAUUUACUUCACAUUAUGACUGUUCAAUUGACCAGUUUCACCAUAACAGCUCACUUUUCUCAAAAUAACACUUUUUUGAAAUAACUGUUUCAUCCCAAAAUGUACUGAAAACUAUAAACAAUAUAUUUCCAGGAAAAGUCACAAUUGCCAAUUACUUAACACAAUAAUUUCUAAUAAGAAUAUCAUUUGCAACAAAUUCAAAUCGAGCAUCAUGUCUGGAUGAAACAAAACAUUUUUGCUGUGCAUUAGGAUGCCAGGUGAGAAGACAGAUGUUGCAUCUUCUGAAUCUAUAGUCUCUUUUGUACAUGUUUCCACGUGUGUCCACGUGUUCCACUGCUCUCAGGUUUAGCCUUUAUUUCGUCACAGUCUUAAAGAAAUUCUUUUCCAGUGGGUUGAACUGUGUCUCCCAAAAAGAUAAGGUCAAAUCUUGAACUCUGGUACCUGUGAAUAGGAGCUUAUUUGGAAAUAGGGUUUUGUAGAUGUACUCAAGUCAUGAUAAGAUCAUAAUGGAGGGUGAGUGCUCAUCAAACAACUUAUGUCUUCAUGAGAACACGGAUAUUUGGACACAGGGACACAGAGGGAGAACACCAUGUGAAGACAGAGGCAGAGAUUAAAAUGAUGCAUCUACAAGCCAAGGAAUGCCAAGGAUUGCCUGCAAUCUCCAAAAGCUAAGAGAGAGGCAUGGAACAGAUUCUCCCUUGGAGACUCCGGAAGGCUUGCCAAGGCUUUUGGACUUGAUUUUGGACCUUUGGCUUUCAGAACUAUGAGAGAACAAAUGUCUGUUGUUCCAAGCCACCCAACUUGUGAUCAUUUGUUAUGGCAGCCCUAGGAAACUAAUAUAUCCAGCAGAUCCAAUUUUCAAAUUCCUGUCUGAAGAUAAGCACCAACUGUGACUGCCAUCCCUUAUUCAGUCUCUUCCUUCCUCGGGCAAGGUUUUAGGAACAAAAUUAAAAUCGUUAAAUGAGACAGCGCUUACUAUAAUUCCGAUGGUCACAACCUGAGUAAAGAAAAAAAGGUGUUUCUAGCAAGAAUAAGGAACUGCAGUAGAAACUGAUACAUAGUGUCGGGUGGAGUUUCCUGAUUGUGGCAGGAUUGGCCAAGGCCUGAUGGGUCCUCUCUGCAGUGGUUGGGAGUCAGUCUUCCAGGCCCACUUGGAGCCUCCUCUGCUGCCUUGCCCAGAUUGGUAGGCACCAGUUAAGCCCUCAACGGGGGACUGAGUUUUGAUCACUGAAUAGGAGUAGACCUUCUGAUUGAGCUACAUUUGAAGACUCAAGGUGAGGUAGGUGGUAUCUCCCCCUUUGGCAGAUGAGGAACCGAACGCACUGGAAAUUAAAUGAUUUGCCCAAAGUCACAUAGGACUAGUGUCCUUAUGAGAAGAGGAGGAGAUUAUCGGGAUACACGUGCACA